This 497-nucleotide ribosomal RNA is filed under the name uncultured bacterium. RNAcentral describes it as "partial 16S ribosomal RNA". It matches the Rfam family "Bacterial small subunit ribosomal RNA", at positions 28 to 523 of the family's 1533-position model. The record is from RNAcentral.
GAUGAACGCUGGGGGCGUGCUUAACACAUGCAAGUCGAACGAAGCACUCUAUUUGAUUUUCUUCGGAAAUGAAGAUUUUGUGACUGAGUGGCGGACGGGUGAGUAACGCGUGGGUAACCUGCCUCAUACAGGGGGAUAACAGUUGGAAACGACUGCUAAUACCGAAUAAGCGCACAGUAUUGCAUGAUACAGUGUGAAAGACUCCGGUGGUAUGAGAUGGACCCGCGUCUGAUUAGCUAGUUGGUGGGGCAACGGCCUACCAAGGCGACGAUCAGUAGCCGACCUGGGAGGGUGACCGGCCACAUUGUGACUGAGACACGGCCCAAACUCCUACAGGAGGCAGCAGUGGGGAAUAUUGCACAAUGGGGGAAACCCUGAUGCAGCGACGCCGCGUGAACGAAGAAGUAUUUCGGUAUGUAAAGUUCUAUCAGCAGGGAAGAUAAUGACGGUACCUGACUAAGAAGCACCGGCUAAAUACGUGCCAGCCGCCGCCGUAA